AUUGAACGCUGGCGGCAUGCUUUACACAUGCAAGUCGAACGGUAACAGGCCUUCGGGUGCUGACGAGUGUCGAACGGGUGAGUAAUGCAUCGGAACGUGCCCAGAGGUUGGGGAUAACGCAGCGAAAGCUGUGCUAAUACCGCAUGUGAUCUGAGGAUGAAAGCGGGGGACCAGGCAGCAAUGUUUGGCCUCGCGCCUUUGGAGCGGCCGAUGUCAGACUAGGUAGUUGGUGAGGUAAAGGCCUACCAAGCCGACGAUCUGUAGCUGGUCUGAGAGGACGACCAGCCACACUGGGACUGAGACACGGCCCAGACUCCUACGGGAGGCAGCAGUGGGGAAUUUUGGGCAAUGGGCGCAAGCCUGAUCCAGCAAUGCCGCGUGCGGGAAGAAGGCCUUCGGGUUGUAAACCGCUUUUGUACGGAACGAAAAGGCUCUGGCUAAUACCUGGGGCUGAUGACGGUACCGUAAGAAUAAGCAACGGCUAACUACGUG
Molecule: ribosomal RNA, 492 nt
Filed under: uncultured bacterium
Lineage: Bacteria
Description: partial 16S ribosomal RNA
Rfam family: Bacterial small subunit ribosomal RNA
Source: RNAcentral